RNAcentral lists this ribosomal RNA (540 nucleotides) under uncultured bacterium. Its description in RNAcentral is "bacterial SSU rRNA". It matches the Rfam family "Bacterial small subunit ribosomal RNA", at positions 777 to 1321 of the family's 1533-position model. The record is from RNAcentral.
AAUAGAUACCCAGGUAGUCCACGCCCUAAACUAUGUCGACUAGUUGUUGGGGGAGUCUGUCCCUCAGUAACGUAGCUAACGCGUGAAGUCGACCGCCUGGGGAGUACGGUCGCAAGAUUAAAACUCAAAGGAAUUGACGGGGACCCGCACAAGCGGUGGAUUAUGUGGAUUAAUUCGAUGCAACGCGAAGAACCUUACCUACCCUUGACAUGCCAGGAACCUCGCAGAGAUGUGAGGGUGCCCGAAAGGGAACCUGGACACAGGUGCUGCAUGGCUGUCGUCAGCUCGUGUCGUGAGAUGUUGGGUUAAGUCCCGCAACGAGCGCAACCCUUGUCAUUAGUUGCUACGUAAGGGCACUCUAAUGAGACUGCCGGUGACAAACCGGAGGAAGGUGGGGAUGACGUCAGGUCAUCAUGGCCCUUAUGGGUAGGGCUACACACGUCAUACAAUGGCCGGUACAGAGGGUUGCCAACCCGCGAGGGGGAGCCAAUCCCAGAAAACCGGUCGUAGUCCGGAUCGCAGUCUGCAACUCGACUGCGU